ACAAUUUGAUCCUGGUCAGAACGAACGGAGGCGGCUGGCCUUACACAUCGAACUCGAGCGGUAGCACAGAGAGCUUGCUCUCGGGUGUCGAGCGGCGGACGGGUGUGUAAUGUCUGGGAAACUGCCUGUAGGAGGGGGAUAACUACUCGAAACGGUAGCUAAUACCGCAUAAUGUCGCAAGACCAAAGUGGGGGACCUUCGGGCCUAUUGCCAUCAGAUGUGCCCAGAUGGGAUUAGCUAGUAGGUGGGGUAAGUUCUCACCUAGGCGACGAUCCCUAGCUGGUCUGAGAGGAUGACCAGCCACACUGGAACUGAGACACGGUCCAGACUCCUACGGGAGGCAGCAGUGGGGAAUGUUGCACAAUGGGCGCAAGCCUGAUGCAGCCAUGCCGCGUGUGUGAAGAAGGCCUUCGGGUUGUAAAGCACUUUCUGCGGGGAGGAAGGCGGUGAGGUUAAUAACCUCAUCGAUUGACGUUACCCGCAGAAGAAGCACCGGCUACAUCCGUGCCAGCAGCCGGGGUAAUACGGAGGGUGCAAGCGUUUGUCGGAAUUACUGGGCGUAAAGCGCACGCAGGCGGUCUGUGAAGUCGGAUGUGAAAUCCCCGGGCUCAACCUGGGAACUGCAUUCGAAACUGGCAGGCUAGAGUCUUGUAGAGGGGGGUAGAAUUCCAGGUGUAGCGGAGAAAUGCGUAGAGAUCUGGAGGAAUACCGGUGACGAAGGCGGCCCCCUGGACAAAGACUAACGCUCAGGUGCGAAAGCGUGGGGAGCAAACAGGAUUAGAUACCCUGGUAGUCCACGCCGAGAACGAUGUCGAUUUGGAGGUUGUGCCCUUGAGGCGUGGCUUCCGGAGCUAACGCGUUAAAUCGACCGCCUGGGGAGUACGGCCGCAAGGUUAAAACUCAAAUGAAUUGACGGGGGCCCGCACAAGCGGUGGAGCAUGUGGUUUAAUUCGAUGCAAGACGAAGAACCUUACCUGGUCUUGACAUCCACAGAACUUAGCAGAGAUGCUUUGGUGCCUUCGGGAACUGUGAGACAGGUGCUGCAUGGCUGGUGUCAGCUCGUGUUGUGAAAUGUUGGGUUAAGUCCCGCAACGAGCGCAACCCUUAUCCUUUGUUGGCAGCGGUUAGGCCGGGAACUCAAAGGAGACUGCCAGUGAUAAACUGGAGGAAGGUGGGGAUGACGUCAAGUCAUCAUGGCCCUUAUGACCAGGGCUACACACGUGCUAGUUUGGCAUAUACAAAGAGAAGCGACCUCGCGAGAGCAAGCGGACCUCAUAAAGUAUGUCGUAGUCCGGAUUGGAGUCUGCAACUCGACAAAAUGAAGUCGGAAUCGCUAGUAAUCGUAGAUCAGAAUGCUACGGUGAAUACGUUCCCGGGCCUUGUACACAGCGCCCGUCACACCAUGGGAGUGGGUUGCAAAAGAAGUAGGUAGCUUAACCUUCGGGAGGGCGCUUACCACUUUGUGAUUCAUGACUGGGGAAGUCGUAACAAGGUAGCCGUAGGAUCCAAU
This 1510-nucleotide ribosomal RNA is filed under the name uncultured bacterium. Its description in RNAcentral is "bacterial SSU rRNA". It matches the Rfam family "Bacterial small subunit ribosomal RNA". The record is from RNAcentral.